UACGUAGGGUGCGAGCGUUAAUCGGAAUUACUGGGCGUAAAGCGUGCGCAGGCGGUUCGUUAAGUCCGUUGUGAAAGCCCCGGGCUCAACCUGGGAAUUGCGGUUGAAACUGGCGAACUAGAAUCUGGCAGAGGGGGGUGGAAUUCCACGUGUAGCAGUGAAAUGCGUAGAGAUGUGGAGGAACACCGAUGGCGAAGGCAGCCCCCUGGGCUGAGAUUGACGCUCAGGCACGAAAGCGUGGGGAGCAAACAGG
This 253-nucleotide ribosomal RNA is filed under the name uncultured bacterium. RNAcentral's name for it is "partial 16S ribosomal RNA". It matches the Rfam family "Bacterial small subunit ribosomal RNA", at positions 524 to 776 of the family's 1533-position model. The record is from RNAcentral.